UACGUAGGGGGCAAGCAUUGUCCGGAAUCAUUGGGCGUAAAGCGCGUGUAGGCGGCCCGAUAAGUCCGCUGUGAAAGUCCAGGGCUCAACCCUGGGAUGCCGGUGGAUACUGUCGGGCUCGAGUCCGGAAGAGGCGAGUGGAAUUCCUGGUGUAGCGGUGAAAUGCGCAGAUAUCAGGAGGAACACCAAUGGCGAAGGCAGCUCGCUGGGACGUGACUGACGCUGAGACGCGAAAGCGUGGGGAGCAAACAGG
Molecule: ribosomal RNA, 253 nt
Filed under: uncultured bacterium
Lineage: Bacteria
Description: partial 16S ribosomal RNA
Rfam family: Bacterial small subunit ribosomal RNA
Source: RNAcentral